Molecule: ribosomal RNA, 449 nt
Filed under: uncultured bacterium
Lineage: Bacteria
Description: partial 16S ribosomal RNA
Rfam family: Bacterial small subunit ribosomal RNA
Source: RNAcentral
AACGAACGCUGGCGGCAUGCCUAACACAUGCAAGUCGAACGAGAUCUUCGGGUCUAGUGGCGCACGGGUGCGUAACGCGUGGGAAUCUGCCCUUUGGUUCGGAAUAACAGUUGGAAACGACUGCUAAUACCGGAUGAUGACGAAAGUCCAAAGAUUUAUCGCCAGAGGAUGAGCCCGCGUCGGAUUAGCUAGUUGGUGUGGUAAAGGCGCACCAAGGCGACGCUCCUUAGCUGGUCUGGGAGGAUGAUCAGCCACACUGGGACUGAGACACGGCCCAGACUCCUACGGGAGGCAGCAGUGGGGAAUAUUGGACAAUGGGCGAAAGCCUGAUCCAGCAAUGCCGCGUGAGUGAUGAAGGCCUUAGGGUUGUAAAGCUCUUUUACCCGGGAUGAUAAUGACAGUACCGGGAGAAUAAGCUCCGGCUAACUCCGUGCCAGCCGCCGCCGUAA